This 253-nucleotide ribosomal RNA is filed under the name uncultured bacterium. Its description in RNAcentral is "partial 16S ribosomal RNA". It matches the Rfam family "Bacterial small subunit ribosomal RNA", at positions 524 to 776 of the family's 1533-position model. The record is from RNAcentral.
UACGUAGGGGGCUAGCGUUGCUCGGAAUCACUGGGCGUAAAGCGCACGUAGGCGGAUUGUUAAGUCAGGGGUGAAAUCCUGGAGCUCAACUCCAGAACUGCCUUUGAUACUGGCGAUCUUGAGUCCGGGAGAGGUGAGUGGAACUCCGAGUGUAGAGGUGAAAUUCGUAGAUAUUCGGAAGAACACCAGUGGCGAAGGCGGCUCACUGGCCCGGUACUGACGCUGAGGUGCGAAAGCGUGGGGAGCAAACAGG